UACGGAGGGGGCUAGCGUUGUUCGGAAUUACUGGGCGUAGAGCGCACGUAGGCGGCUCUGCAAGUCGGAUGUGAAAUCCCUCGGCUCAACCAAGGAAGUGCAUCCGAAACUGCGGAGCUUGAGUACUUAAGAGGAUCGCGGAAUUCCCGGUGUAGAGGUGAAAUUCGUAGAUAUCGGGAGGAACACCAGUGGCGAAGGCGGCGAUCUGGGAAGAUACUGACGCUGAGGUGCGAAAGCGUGGGGAGCAAACAGG
RNAcentral lists this ribosomal RNA (253 nucleotides) under uncultured bacterium. RNAcentral's name for it is "partial 16S ribosomal RNA". It matches the Rfam family "Bacterial small subunit ribosomal RNA", at positions 524 to 776 of the family's 1533-position model. The record is from RNAcentral.